This 460-nucleotide ribosomal RNA is filed under the name uncultured bacterium. Its description in RNAcentral is "partial 16S ribosomal RNA". It matches the Rfam family "Bacterial small subunit ribosomal RNA", at positions 338 to 795 of the family's 1533-position model. The record is from RNAcentral.
CCUACGGGAGGCAGCAGUGAGGAAUAUUGGUCAAUGGGCGCGAGCCUGAACCAGCCAAGUAGCGUGAAGGAUGACUGCACUACGGGUCGUAAACUUCUUUUAUAAAGGAAUAAAGUGAGGCACGUGUGCCUUUUUGUAUGUACUUUAUGAAUAAGGAUCGGCUAACUCCGUGCCAGCAGCCGCGGUAAUACGGAGGAUCCGAGCGUUAUCCGGAUUUAUUGGGUUUAAAGGGAGCGUAGAUGGGUUGUUAAGUCAGUUGUGAAAGUUUGCGGCUCAACCGUAAAAUUGCAAUUGAUACUGGCAGUCUUGAGUACAGUUGAGGUAGGCGGAAUUCGUGGUGUAGCGGUGAAAUGCUUAGAUAUCACGAAGAACUCCGAUUGCGAAGGCAGCUUACUAAACUGCCACUGACAUUGAUGCUCGAAAGUGUGGGUAUCAAACAGGAUUAGAUACCCGGGUAGUC